Molecule: long non-coding RNA, 361 nt
Filed under: Homo sapiens (human)
Lineage: Eukaryota; Metazoa; Chordata; Mammalia; Primates; Hominidae
Description: non-protein coding lnc-GOLGA2-4:1
Source: RNAcentral
CUCAGUUCUUUGGAAAAAUUAGGUAACUUGAACGUAGGGCACAUGGGCUGUCACACCACCCCAUUUAGAGCCCUUAUUGGCAUAGAGAUGAUAAAAGUGGACUCUGUGAUGGCCUCUCAUGAUCUCAGGAUAGCAGGAUAGGGGAACUCUGAGUCAUGGCCAAAAUAAUUGGUCAAUGUACAGCCUCAGACAGCUGGGAAUACCACCCCAAAUCACUUGGAUAAGGAGAUGUUUUCCUUAUCCUGUGUCUUUAACUCUGAGACGGAUGGAGUUGAACAAUCAACGAUUGUUAAAAAUGUACCAAAUGUGUAAGCAUCAUGAGGUGUUUAAGCUGAGCUUUUAAAUUAAAAUUCUGCUGGGU